RNAcentral lists this long non-coding RNA (263 nucleotides) under Elaeis guineensis (African oil palm). Its description in RNAcentral is "long non-coding RNA (EGUI_LNC023262)". Lineage: Eukaryota; Viridiplantae; Streptophyta; Magnoliopsida; Arecales; Arecaceae. The record is from RNAcentral.
GAGGCUCACAAUCCACCUCAAUCUGAAGAACUCAAAGAUCACCCUCCUCAGUUCAUCCUCACUAUCUAUCAUCUGUUCUGAGUUAUUCCUCACAAACCUGAUUGGAUUCUUUUGACACCUAAUGAUAGUGGCAUGGUGAGAAAAAUCUCAUAUUUUUAUCUCCCUCCUAGACCCACUGAAUUCUCGACUUUUGUUGCCAAAGGAUCUCCUGGUGAUGCAAUAAAAAAUGAUUAGCUGAAAGCAGUGCCUUGAGAUUAGUCAAC